CAAUCCCAUGCCAUAAAGAAAGGAAAUUUUCUUCGUAUGAUCCUUCUGAGAACAUCAUACAUAGAGCUACAAAGUGUUAACACCAGAAGAGGUGAAUUCAAUUUUCUAAUAAUUAGCAUAUUAAAAAAAUAUUUUUUUUCUUAAUAAUAGAUCUACAGUCAAUGCCAAACUUACCCAUAAAACUAUUGGCAUGGCCCAACAAAUCCUGUAACAUUACAGCAAGUUCAAAUCUGAACAAAAAUGAUAUUGUUGCAUCGCCAUCCAAAAAGCACAUUAUCUAACUUUGCGAAAAUUGUGCACACCACCAAAAAUUUAAGUCAGAUCACACAACUCUAGCCAUACAAAAACCCUUUUUUUUUUUUUUUCUUGAUAUCAAAUUCGAAAUCCUGUCCUGAGUUCUGCAUCAUGCCAUAUUCACUCCAGUCUUAAACUUUCUUUUAAGUGGUUAAUCUAAGACGAUUGUAGAGCUCAAAACUCAUUAAGCUACAACUGAUCAACGCCUACUAAGAUCAGAAAUUCCUUGCCCUGUAAUAGAAAUUAGUUAAAUAGAAGAUUCUUUUAGGUUGAAUGAAGUGAUGGAGCUGCCCACAAUUUCACUUUCUUGUCAACACUGGCGGUGGCCAACACCAAGGCCUGUCCAGUACCUGUGAAAUGACAUUAUUGGGUUAUCAAUCACGUAUCCAGAAUAUUUCCUACACCCCCUAAGGCUAGGUAGUAAGAGCACCUAGAUGGAUAGAUAUUGGGGAUUCAAGAAUUGAAAUGCUCUAAUUUUUAAAACCAGACAGUUAAUUGACAAAUCUUAUUAAUUGAAGAUGAAUUACCCAUUGGAAUCGUCUUAGGAGACCAUGCAAUCCAUGUGAUUUGACCAUCAUGGGCCUUGUCAGCUGUGUCCAGAACAUUCCCAGUAUCCACACAUAACCACUGCAAUGUUGAACCAUGGGUUGCUGCCAGUAUCUUCCCAUCAGGGGAUAAGCUGAGUCGAUCAUAAUGCAAAGUAGCGCCACUUGAAUCAUGAAGUGGAAUUGGAAACACCUUUACAGUCUUCGGAUCCUCAUCAAGAUGGUAUCGAACUAGAAGAAUAUCAAUUAAGGGAUCUCAGCAUCAUGAUCAUGAUUAUAUAGUUGCCAACACAAGAACCAAGUCUGCAAACCCAUAAAUCUACCCAGAAUCCAAAAGCAAAACAUGUCAAUGCUAUCCAAGAAAUCUUUCUGAUAUAGUAGCCUCACUAUUUCAUUUGGUACUUAUAUUUAUCCUUAUCUCUCUCGUAUAUGUGCACUCGAUGGAGAGGUGGGAUGGAUAAAGGCAGUGAGCUGAAGAUAACUCUGGAGAAUCAAAGUCCAUGGAAUAAAAAAAGAAUAUAACUACAAAAAUAAAUAGGAUUUUUUUUCUUUCUCAAACCAUUUCAUUUAUUGAGAACACUAUUAAAAUUUAGCAGCAACACAAAGAAGAAAUCAUUUACCAUUAUAGCGUGAAAUGCAGAAGUUAUGCUUAGAUGUAGAUAUUUUCUUAGAAAUCAGAAGCACUUCAUAGAAAUACAUAACAAAAAAAUUAUUACUUUGGCAUACCAUUGAUGUUCCAAAUUCUUAUAGAACCAUCUUUGGAUGUCGUGAUGAUUUGCUCUGAGUUUGAAGUAAAGCAUAACCAAGUCACUGCACUCUUGUGCCCUUUAAGCUGCAUAACUUUUGGAACCUCUUUAACAGAACCGUCCUUUGAAUAUACAAUCUCCCAAACCUUCACAUCUGCAGUAAAAGCCGCAGCAGCAAUAAAACGUCCAUUUGGUGAUAUAGCAGCCAUGGUGUUCUUCAAUUGAUUUGUAUCAACACUCCCCAAAUUCUUCCCAGUCUUUCCAUGCCAAAGUUUGAUAUCAGUAGCCUCUGAACAAGAGGCAAUAACAGUACUCCCAUCGGCACUUCCAUAAGUUGCAGCAGCUCCAACUAAAGUCAGAACAGCACUUUUCUUGUGCAAUUUGUGAUGUUCCCAUUUGAUUUCUGGUAAAGGAGGCUUAGAUUGCUGCUUGGAUUCAUUAGCAGGUUUAGCCUUUUCUUCUCCAUACAUAUAUAAAGAUGCACCGAAGUGAGUUUCAGAAGCCACUACUACAGAAGAUGCAUCAUCAGAAAAGGCCACAGCCACUGGAUGACCUCCAGCAGGUAAAUUAAUUCUUAGAAAUUUGAAACUUUUACUUGAAGCAUCAUCCAACUUAAACACCCUGACCACUCCAUCUGCACAAGCAGUUGCCAAACUCCGUCCAUCAUUAGAGAAACACAGCCCAGUGACUGAAUCUCCAUGACCUUUUAGAGUGUUCAAAUCCAAUGGGUGAUGCCGCUUAUUUUGAUCCUUGUCAGAAGCAUGAGAGUGAGGUUUCGAGUGAGAUUUCUUGGUUAUAGACUGAGCAGGCUUCGUGGGCUUCUUAGGAUCCGAAUGGAGUUCCGGUUUGGCUAUGGAUUUAAUUUCGGAUUUUCUCUUGAUGAAAUAGGUUUUGAAGAAGAGGAGAGCGAUCAGAGCACCGAGAAGGAUCGAGACAACCGCAAUGGGAAUAACCGGAUCCAUUUUGUUCGCUGGAGAGUAUCAAGAGUUCUAGGGUUUUGAGAUUGUCAAUAACGAGUAUGACGGUGGCAGCUACGAGGAUGCGUAUGCGUUGAAGUAUGGGGACUGGAAAUGGCGAGGGGAUGAUUGUACUAAAUAAAACAUAAAAGCAGAAUUUCG
Molecule: unclassified non-coding RNA, 2703 nt
Filed under: Hevea brasiliensis (rubber tree)
Lineage: Eukaryota; Viridiplantae; Streptophyta; Magnoliopsida; Malpighiales; Euphorbiaceae
Source: RNAcentral